This 274-nucleotide ribosomal RNA is filed under the name uncultured bacterium. RNAcentral's name for it is "partial 16S ribosomal RNA". It matches the Rfam family "Bacterial small subunit ribosomal RNA", at positions 523 to 796 of the family's 1533-position model. The record is from RNAcentral.
AUACGGAGGGUGCUAGCGUUACUCGGAAUCACUGGGCGUAAAGCGCGCGCAGGCGGCUAUUUAAGUUGGAUGUGAAAGCCUACGGCUCAACCGUAGAACUGCAUCCAAAACUAUUUAGCUAGAGUGUGGGAGAGGAAGAUGGAAUUAGUUGUGUAGGGGUAAAAUCCGUAGAGAUAACUAGGAAUACCAAAAGCGAAGGCAAUCUUCUGGAACACUACUGACGCUGAGGCGCGAAAGCGUGGGGAGCAAACGGGAUUAGAUACCCCAGUAGUCC